RNAcentral lists this long non-coding RNA (2744 nucleotides) under Sus scrofa (pig). Its description in RNAcentral is "lncRNA (ENSSSCG00015013369.1)". Lineage: Eukaryota; Metazoa; Chordata; Mammalia; Artiodactyla; Suidae. The record is from RNAcentral.
AUAGCCAACUUUUGAUCAAACAUCUCGAGAAUGCAAUCGAACAAAGUGUAAUAGCGGGUCAGGCAGAAAUACACCCCAAAAUGGUGAAACUGUGUAGUUAAUGAACGAAAUGAACAAAUAUGAAUUUUUCUCUCUUUUCCCUCUUUUGGCCCAAUUAUAGAAGGCAGAUCUGUGGCCACAAUGUAGGCAAAGGGACAGAAAUGAAGCAGAAAGAUCAAGAAGAACCAAAAAUUAGGUAAUCAGCCCUCCUUCAAAGAAUUACCUUGGCCUCUGAGCACUGAUAAUCUCUACUUAUUACAGGGCUCCUUAUUUAAAAAAAAAAAAUCAUGGGCUUAAAAUACUUAGAAAAGUAGAACUGAAGGAAAUUUUUUUUGGCUUUUGGGGUUUUUUUUUUUAAAGCAUUUCUAACAACUUCAGGUUAAGGAAGACAGAGGGUAAAAAGUACAUUUUGAUGCAAAAUAAGACACUCUGGGGGUUUCUCUAAAGCAGAAAGCCUAGGGAGAUGGAAUACUAACCAAGGUUAAAAAUGAGAAGGCCUGACAGGAAGGCCAGUCUGCCAAAUUAAGUUACCUUUUCUCCUCCUAACAGUUGAAAAUUAGAUACCUUUGUGAUGCUUUAUUUAGGUAAAAAUGAUACAGUAUCACAAACCUCUCUUUUUAACACUACCGAAGUAUUCUGGUUCCAUAACUACCUGACAACCAACUUCACAGCUAGCCAGACCUAGAGAAAAUGUCACAGCCAACCUAAUGAAAUCUCAUCUCUUAUUUGAAGUAUCCUAUCUAUAAACCCAAAGCUCUGUGGACAAACACCCCAAAGAAAUUUUAGGCUACAAAAAUGCCUCCGCUUUCCAAAAUCCCCCAAAACACACUGUUAGUAAAAUAAAUGCAGUCAGCAUGUGUUCCCUUCUCGCACAGCCUCAAUCCUGGCUCUUGGAGAGUAAGAGGAUAUUUGGAAGAUUUCCUUCCCUUGGGGACCUCUGAGUCCCUUGGUGGUGCAGCAGCAGACCCCGAUUCAAAGCCGGAUUCCAGACUCUACUCCAAUGUGAACGGGUUAAAGUGAGCCUAUUAACACUAACCCAGGGAGUUCCCAUUAUGGCUCAGUGGGUGAAGAACCCCACUAGUAUUCAUGAGGAUGUGGGUUCAAUCCCUGGCCUCGCUCAGUGGGUUAAGGAUCUGGCGCUGCCGUGAGCUGUGGUGUAGGUCACAGAUGCGUCUUAGAUGCCGAGUUUCUGUGGCUGUGGUGUGGGCUCCAGCUGCAGCUCCGAUUAGACCCCUAGCCUGGGAAGUGCCAUAUGCUGCAGGUGCAGCUAUAAAAAGAAAAGGAAAAAAAAAAAAAAAAAAAAAAAAAGAAAAGAAAGGAAAAGAAACACUAAACCAGAUCCUGCUCGUACUCUCCUCAAAAAUCUCCCCUUCAUCUUCCCUAGCAGAGUGAAAACCAAAGCCCUACAAUGGCCUCUGGCUGCUGCACAUUCUGGCCCCUGUGCCUUUACCGCCGGUCCCUCCCUUUGCACAGCCACUCCAGACACACUGGCCUCUCUCUGCCCUGGCGGUUCCCCUGCCUGGAAUGCUCUCCCCCAAGUAUGUGCACGGCUAACCCUGUCACCUUCAGAUAUUUGAAUAAAUGUUUCCCUUCCAUCAGAUUCACUUAAAACUGCAUGCUGGGGGGAUGGGAUGGGGGUUUGGGAUGGACAUGCUAUAAAACUGGGUUGUGAUGACUGUUGCACAACUAUACAUGUAAUAAAAUUCAUUGAGUUUAAAAAAAUAAAAUAAAAAUGAAACUUCAGUUUUGUUUUUUAAAAAAAAAAAAAAAAACUACAUGUCCUUUCGGCUCUAUUUUUUUUUUUCUUUUUUCCCAUGGUGCUUAUCACUUUCCAACAAAUGACACGAUUGACUUAUUUAGUAAAGUGUUUCUUGUUUCUUGUGCUCUUCUAACCCCCCAAAGUAAACACUUCUGGAGGGCAGGGAUUUGCCUGUGUUGAUCACUCAUGUAUCUCAUGUGCCUGGUAUAUAGCAGGUCUUCAAUCAAUUAUUUACAGAAUGAAUGAAUAAGACCUUGUAUUGGUCUAACUUCUUAGAAUUCCAUGAAAUAUCCAUUCUUCCUGCUUGGUAAACUGGUAACUGGUUAUUUCCCCAUGGAUACCAACCCAAGAAACUAAGUUACUAAAAUCUGAAAAACUCUAGAUUAAAUUGCACCAUGUAUUGAGAAUUUGUCCAGGAACUGAGUUUUACAUGUAUUUUCACAUUUAAUCUUCACCAAAAGCCAAUUAGAAAGACAUUACGUUCCUCCCCAAUAUCUUUUUUUUUUUUUUUUUUGUCUUUUUAGGGCCACCCCUGCGGCAUAUGGUGGUUUCCAGGCUAGGGGUCUAAUCGGAGCUGUUGGCGCGCAAGCCUACGCCACAGCCACAGCAACACCAGAUCUGAGCCAUGUCUGCAACCUACACCACAGCUCACGGCAACGCUGGAUCCUUAAACCACUAAACGAGACCAGGGAUUGAACCUGCAUCCUCAUGGAUGCCAGUCAGAUUCGUUUCCCCUGAGCAACGACUGGAACUCCCCUCCCUAAAAUCUUAAAGAGCCUAAGGAAAUUCAAUUACAGAGAGAUGAAAUAAUCCGAGACUGAAUUCGCUAGGAGUGCCUGUGCUGGGCUCUCUGCAGACCCCAGGCCAUCUGAUGGUGCCCCUUUCUGCUCCCUUCGUUAUAAAAUGGAUCCACUUCUUCAACAGCCCCAGAUAACAGAGAGACCCU